AUUGAACGCUGGCGGCAUGCCUUACACAUGCAAGUCGAAUGGUAACAGGUCUUCGGAUGCUGACGAGUGGCGAACGGGUGAGUAAUACAUCGGAACGUGCCUAGUAGUGGGGGAUAACUACUCGAAAGAGUGGCUAAUACCGCAUGAGAUCUACGGAUGAAAGCAGGGGAUCGCAAGACCUUGUGCUACUAGAGCGGCCGAUGGCAGAUUAGGUAGUUGGUGGGAUAAAAGCUUACCAAGCCGACGAUCUGUAGCUGGUCUGAGAGGACGAUCAGCCACACUGGGACUGAGAAACGGCCCAGACUCCUACGUGGGGCAGCAGUGGGGAAUUUUGGACAAUGGGCGCAAGCCUGAUCCAGCAAUGCCGCGUGCAGGAUGAAGGCCUUCGGGUUGUAAACUGCUUUUGUACGGAACGAAAAGCCCCGGGUUAAUACCCUGGGGUCAUGACGGUACCGUAAGAAUAAGCACCGGCUAACUACGUGCCAGCCGCCGCCGUAA
RNAcentral lists this ribosomal RNA (498 nucleotides) under uncultured bacterium. RNAcentral describes it as "partial 16S ribosomal RNA". It matches the Rfam family "Bacterial small subunit ribosomal RNA", at positions 30 to 523 of the family's 1533-position model. The record is from RNAcentral.